GAGACUUGAAUACAAUUACACACCAUUUCCAUUUUUGGAAAAAGACAAAAAAAAUCCCACUGAAAAAGGUUUCUUCUCCACAAAAACCAUAGGCAUACACCAUAUUCUGAUACACGUUCCAUCAACACAUAAACGCCAAAUAUAGAGAGAUCUGAAGCAUCACAGGAUUCUUUUUUUUUCCUUUAUCUUUUCUUCCCUUCUUAGCGCACACACGACAUACACAAAUCCUUACUCUCUCAACACAUAUAUAGACAUACAUACACACAGAUAUUGGAGAUGAGGGAGCUGGACAGAAAGAAAACUAGACACAGAGAGGCAUUUAAGCAUGAGAGAGGCAAUCAGAGAGAUUGAGAGGUUUGAGAGAGAGAGAGAGAGAGCUCGAUAAUUGAGAGAGAACGGCGAGGAGAGUUCCUUUUCGGCGACCAGAUCUCGUCGAAGCUCCUAAAAAUAGCCAAAAUCGGCGAUCGACCCUAUUGAAACAACAAAAAUUGAUGACCGAACCUGACCCAUUUCUACCCAAUUCCAACGAGAUCCACCAAAAAAUGAGAGAAAAGGUAAAAUGGUUCUAUUUAUUUGUGGUGUUCUAUUCUGAUUGGUUAGUUCGAUAUUUCGAUCGAGUUGGCGUGUUCAUGUUGAGUUCUUUGAGACGAGGUCCUGAGUUCGUUAGCUCUAUUGAAUAAUUUGGGGAUUGAAAUAAAAAUUGAGGUUUGAUUCUUCAACUCUAUCUCUUUUAUUUUUACCUCAAUAUGAUAUGUUGAUGUUGUGAUUUGUAUGAUUUAUUUUGGGUUGAUGAUAUGAUCUUGAUUGUGUGGUUGAGUAAUUCUAAUUUUUUUGAUUGAUUCUAUGUUUGGUUAAUUAACCAGGAAUGAUUUGAACUCAUUUGGAGUAAAUUUUAAUUUGGGGAGACGUAGACGUUGAUAUAUAUGGAUGUGAAUUAAAUUUGAUUCCUUGUUAGUGGUUUGAUUUGAAAUAAACAUUGAUAUUACUAAACAUGAUAGUAUCAUGAUAGGUCGAGUUGGGUAGGCAAAUGGUAGGCUCGGGUAGGCAACUUCAGGACUCGUGAAAUAUUAAAUGCUUGAACUAUGUGUUGAAUGGCUUGGUUUCAUUGCUUUUGAAUUCAAUAUAUCAUUUGGCUGGGAAAUGCCCCGAGGUUUCAUGUAAUUAUUCACCGGAAAAUGCCCUGACGUAUUAUGUCUUCUAAGGAGGUUCGUGAUCAAGGCCCGAGGCAUUGGGUAAAGCAUUAGAGUGUAUUUUAGGAGUAGUUUAGAAUAAUGUAGGUUUAUAUUUUUCUGCAUUUUAUUUUUCUUUUGGACUGUAUAAUUGGACUGGACAUUAUAUUUUGGAUUGUUUUGUCUUGUUUAUGUGAUUGAUUAUUUUUAUGUGUUUUGUGUGGUUUAUACAUUCGUCAUAAAAAAUUAGCCGAUAUAUAAUCCGCGACCGCGGUCAAACCACGGGACCAAGGGGUCACUAACACCUUUCCCUUGGGCAAUAGAAUUCCUUAGCUAGAAUCUCUAUUCGUAAAUCAGUUUUGAAAGAGUCAAAAACCAUUUCAAAAAUGAUUUUCAAAGGUGACUUGGCACACCAGAUUAUGUCAAGCGGCGAAUCUUAAUAAAAAAUAUAAAUAAUCCUUUUUCAAAAUAAAUUUUUAAUAUUUUGUCACUUUACUAAUAAAAACUCUUUCAAACCUUAAAAUAUAAUCUUUUCGGUUGAAAGAGGGGGUGCGACACUCACUUCUACUGCGCCCUUUUGGAGCAGAUCCUGGUUUGAGUAUGCCUCACGAUGAUUGAUUCGAACUACCUUUGGAGCUAUUCGAGGUAAUGUUUGGAUUCCUGCUUCCGGUGUUGACUACUAUCUUUCUUUAUUUAGACUAUGUCUUUAUUCAUAUUCAGAGACAGAGUAUUCCUAUUUUGGAUAUCUUAUAUAUUUGAUCACUAGUUGUACUAGUGAUGUUCUUACAUUGUGACACCAUAUUUUAGGAUUAUGGUAUUAUUAGUUAUGUUCGCAUAGAUUGCAUGUAGCAAAGAUGAAUGAUAUAUACAUAUCUAGCUAUUAUAAUUCCCAAAGCAUGAAAGUAUAAUUUUCUAAUAUAUAGAAAGAGUGGUUUCAACUUGUCAGCUAUUUGACAUUAAAUUAAAAAAUAAGGGUAUUAAGAUCUUUACAGAAAAUUGUAAGCUCAGAUUGAAAAUCAUUUGUGCUUCUUUUUGUGGACCUAUCAAAAGUUCUAAAACAACGUUCACUCUUUUCUCAUUAAUUACAGACAUAGCCAUGUAAGAAAUUUAAGAUAAAUGUCAUCACAUGUGGCUCUUUAGCCUUGCAUUCGUUUCCACAAGUGGGCCCUCUAUCUGUCAUCUAUUUUUUAUUUUUAUUUAUCUUUUUUUUUUUUCUGAAAAGAUAUAAUUAUUCUUUAAAUUGUACUUCUCAUUAUAUUUAGGAUGAAGUUGAGUACCUACGUGCUACUUUUAUUUAGGUUAUAUAAUAUAAAAUUAUUUCAAAUAUAUUAGUUUAAGUAAAUUGAUUAAUAAGAUAAUAAUUUAUUGUAAUAACUACAAUAUGAUAAAUAUAAUUAAAUAUAUUUUAUUCUUUAUUUACAUUUCAUAUCAAACAUAUAGUUUUCUUUCUUCCUUAUUUGUUACAUGAAAUACAAGUUUGACUAAUUUAAAUUUUUAAUAUAUAAUUAAUAAAGCUAAUUUAGUAAAAUAAAAUUUUAAUAUAAGGUUGAGCAUAAUUCUUUAUACCAACAAAAAGAAACUAAAGAAAAAUACCUAACAAGAUUUUACUUAUAUAAGGUUGAACAUAAUUCUUAACUAAAUAAUAAUAAUUAUUUAUUUUUAUAUAUGCAAGUCAUAUUAUCCGUAUUGGAUUAAGCAUACUAUUCCUACGAGUUGAUGAAUUUUUUAAUUAAAACUUUGAGCAUAAUUACUUGUUGGAUUGUAGUGAUUUUAAUCGCCUCAAACUCAAAGAAAAAGUUUUAAUAUUUUAUUUUUAAUAAACUUAAUAUAUAAAAUGUAUUUUACUCAUAUAAGUAUUUGAUUAAUUCAAUAGUUUCUCAAUUUAUCUAAAACCUACCAAAUUAUGAUUUUAACUAAAUGAACCUAAUAAUUAGUGUUUCUUUGAUUUUUAAAAUAAAUCAAAAUUUCUAUAUCAUCCUUGAAUAAUUAUUAUUAUUAUAAUACAUUUAUAUAUUAAAAAAUUAAUAAUAUUUAAUUAAAAAAUAAAUAGAUAUUUAUGGCAUGUCUGCUUCAAUUGUAAUUUUUACUAUAUCAUCUCUAAUAUUUAUUUUAAAUUAUUUAUAUAUUAAAAAAUUAAUAAUAUUUAAUUAAAAAAUAAAUAGAUAUUUAUGGCAUGUCUGCUUCAAUUGUAAUUUUUACUAUAUCAUCUCUAAUAGUUAUUAUAAAUUAUUUAUAUAUUAAAAAUUUAAUAAUAUUCAAUCCGUGAUUUUAUUAUAUCACCCCUCAUUAAUUAUUAUAAGUCAUUAAUGUAUUAAAAAUUUAGUAAUAUUUAAUUAAAAAAACUAAAAUAAACAUUUAUGACAUAUCUGUUUCAACUGUUUCAAUCGUGAUUUUACUAAAUCACCCCUAAGUAAUUAUUAUAAGUCAUUUAUGUAUUAAAAAAUUAAUAAUAUUUAAUUAUAUCCCAUGAUUCCUUUAUAUAAGAACAAGGGUGACAUCCAGAGUUGUACCAACUUAGGGGUAUUAAGCUAUUGAGUCACACAAUGAAGAUUUGGGAGAGAGUAUUCGAGCCACAAGUAGAGAUCGACACCUUAUAUACUACCGGAGUAUAAAUAACUUUCAACAUUUGCCAAUCCUAGUGUGAGGUUUAUAAAGGUAAGAAUUCUUACGAUGUGGUGAUGAGAUUUUACUACUAAUCUUGUUUGUUCAUUUUAUAGGCACAAGGAAUUAUAAGGAAGUAUGACUUCAGUAGCCUUGGAUACAUAUGACUACGACAUAGGACACUAUGGUUGUAGUGAAGAAAGUUAUGACUAUGAUGAAGAUAGAGACUAUAGGGGC
This 4007-nucleotide long non-coding RNA is filed under the name Capsicum annuum. RNAcentral describes it as "long non-coding RNA (CANN_LNC014842)". The record is from RNAcentral. Lineage: Eukaryota; Viridiplantae; Streptophyta; Magnoliopsida; Solanales; Solanaceae.